AAGCAACCACAUGAUUUGGGUUUGAUUUUUCAAAAAAAUAGUUUGAAUUUCAACUCAUUUUCAAGCAACCAACACCAAUUUACAUCUACAAAUUAAAAGUUCUAUGUAUAUGACUCCAUUGCGUUUCAAUCGAUGGCGACUGCGGGUGAUUAAGCUUCGAUCGACGGCGAGGGUGGGUGAUUGGGCUUCGAUAGAUGGCGAUGGCGA
Molecule: long non-coding RNA, 207 nt
Filed under: Actinidia chinensis (golden kiwifruit)
Lineage: Eukaryota; Viridiplantae; Streptophyta; Magnoliopsida; Ericales; Actinidiaceae
Description: long non-coding RNA (ACHI_LNC008850)
Source: RNAcentral